Molecule: long non-coding RNA, 430 nt
Filed under: Podarcis lilfordi (Lilford's wall lizard)
Lineage: Eukaryota; Metazoa; Chordata; Lepidosauria; Squamata; Lacertidae
Source: RNAcentral
CUCGUUUUGAUCAGAAUUGAGAAAAAAUGCUCUAGGUAUGUUUUAAGCUGUACCCAGUUUUGGAAAGAUUGUGGGCGGGCCGAGAGAAUAACCUGGGAACUUCCUGACUGAUAAUCAAAGGCAUUCAUCACUACAUCACACUAUUUCUGUUCUCUUUCGCUAAGCCAGGAAGGGAAAGUAAAAAGCACUUGAAUUUCCGUGUGCAAUAAAUCUGUCCUUUAAACUUGCUUGAUAAAAUGUAUUAGACCAUUCAUCAUGGUUUUUUUCCCCUCUUCCACAGCCUGUAAUCUGCAACACAAUGUGUGACAACUCCACUAGCGGAGAUACGGGGAAAUUUUUCAGCGAGGCUAUAGAACAUCUUCAAGCAGUAACACGGGAGAACAUGAGGUCAAUCUCAAAUUAGUAUUUACUGUAUUUGACACAUAAGGCC